This 234-nucleotide unclassified non-coding RNA is filed under the name Hevea brasiliensis (rubber tree). The record is from RNAcentral. Lineage: Eukaryota; Viridiplantae; Streptophyta; Magnoliopsida; Malpighiales; Euphorbiaceae.
UGGGACGACCUCUAAGACAGAGGCCUGUUGUGCCCUCAUUUUCAAUUCUGGAACUAGUUGCUUGCGCGGGAGCCUAAAGAUGUGCCCUUACCGACUAUUUAAGGCUGGACAAAGAAGAAUGGAAAACAUUUAGAUCUUCGCAAAUUUUUUUUUAAACUUUUUCUUCCCCUUACAACUGUGAUAUUUGAUGAUACAAAUGGUGAAAAUGAUAGUAGCAACCCACCAACAAAGAUG